AGAGUUUGAUCCUGGCUCAGGACGAACGCUGGCGGCGUGCUUAAUACAUGCAAGUCGAACGCUCUCGACCUUCGGGUCACAUGAGAGAGUGGCGAACGGGUGCGUAACACGUGAGAAACCUGCCCCAAAGACGGGAAUAGCCCGAGGAAACUCGGAUUAAUACCCGAUACCUCCACAAUGCCGCAUGGCAAUGUGAAGAAAGUUCAGGCGCUUUGGGAGGGUCUCGCGGCCUAUCAGCUUGUUGGUGAGGUAACGGCUCACCAAGGCAUCGACGGGUAGCUGGUCUGAGAGGACGAUCAGCCACACUGGGACUGAGACACGGCCCAGACUCCUACGGGAGGCAGCAGUAGGGAAUCUUGCGCAAUGGGCGAAAGCCUGACGCAGCAACGCCGCGUGGGGGAUGAAUGCCUUCGGGUUGUAAACCCCUUUCAGCAGGGACGAAAAUGACGGUACCUGCAGAAGAAGCUCCGGCCAACUACGUGCCAGCAGCCGCGGUAAUACGUAGGGAGCGAGCGUUGUCCGGAAUUAUUGGGCGUAAAGAGCUCGUAGGCGGUUCAGUAAGUCGGGUGUGAAAACUCAAGGCUCAACCUUGAGACGCCACUCGAUACUGCUGUGACUUGAGUCCGGUAGAGGAGUGUGGAAUUCCUGGUGUAGCGGUGAAAUGCGCAGAUAUCAGGAGGAACACCAGCGGCGAAGGCGGCACUCUGGGCCGGUACUGACGCUGAGGAGCGAAAGCAUGGGGAGCAAACAGGAUUAGAUACCCUGGUAGUCCAUGCCGUAAACGUUGGGC
This 790-nucleotide ribosomal RNA is filed under the name marine metagenome. RNAcentral describes it as "bacterial SSU rRNA". It matches the Rfam family "Bacterial small subunit ribosomal RNA", at positions 8 to 814 of the family's 1533-position model. The record is from RNAcentral.